Molecule: long non-coding RNA, 497 nt
Organism: Lathyrus oleraceus (garden pea)
Lineage: Eukaryota; Viridiplantae; Streptophyta; Magnoliopsida; Fabales; Fabaceae
Exons: 2
Source: RefSeq, a predicted model, not a curated record
UUAGCACCAUAUUCGAAUAACGUUCUACAAAUGAUAAUGGGGCAAAAAAUUCUUUCCUACCUUCUCUUGAUCAAUGUUGCUCUAUUGGUAUUGUUAAUUUAUGAUGGGAAAUCAAGUGCAACUCGCUUUCCCUCAGUAACACUAAGAGCAAAUGGUGAUUUCGUACUACCUGAAAAUGUUGAUAAAUUUGGAAGACAAGGCUCAAGAGUCUUGGCUGAUAAUAUUUAUUACAACAUAAAACAAAUCAUAGGAGGUCAUGGUCGAAGCCACCAUCAUUCAUUGCAACCUGGUAAUGUUGGUCGUAUUUUAUCAGAAAUCCCAUCAGGUCCAGAUCCCAUUCAUAACCCCGAUUCCCCUAGUGCACGUGUUUAUGGUUGAUGUGUGGAUGGAAUAGAUGUAUUCAAUAUUUAUAAAAUAAAUUGUGAGAUUCUGUAUACACUUGAUGUACUAGUUCAAUGUUAAUAAUUAAAUGUUAUAAACUCAAGUUAUAGAGUUCA